UCUUAAAUAUAAAUGUAGGCCAUCCUUUGUAUUUUCUAACCAAAGUCUACCCAAUACAGGUAUAGGAGCAAAGUGAUGCAUUGAAAUCUAAUUUCGAUCUUCUGAAUGGAUUGGAAUAUCAGAGCAGCAAAGCGUCAUCUCGCACCACAUACACAUGUUUACAGAAAGUCAUUUCAUCAGUGUUCAUGACUUGGAAAGAAAAAGCUGAUGGAGAAACGUGAAGCUGGAUCACACAAUACGCAAAAAGAUUCAUAGUAAGGAAAACAAAUAGACCAAAUGUUGAUCUACAGUUGUAACGAAAGAACCUGAAUAACGUCAUACCUUUGGCAACUUUAAAUUUAAUAUUAACUACGAGUUUCAUGAGACCGUCGUUGUGACAGACGGACUGUCGCAAUUAAUUAUUUAGUAGUAUAGUAAAAAGGUUCUUAAUCUAAUAGCGCCGCUUUCAUCAAUAGGUGAUGACGUCAUUUGUGAUAAUUUUUUCUUGUGUACUAGUUGCUCUCCCUUUUUCGCUUCGGCGUAAAUUUUCUUAUGACGUCAAACUUUUCUUCUUGAUCGUUUGGUAGACUCCCUCCAUCUUGCGCUGUAGAGCCAAGCUGUAUCUUUGGAGUUCCUGAAUUCUCCAUGUGUCUUCGUUAUUGGAUAGCCUUAGCGUUGGCCCUGGUAUAUAUUCUUGAAGGAUUAUUUGACCCCUGUUUAGGGGUUUCAGGUUUCAGGACUGAGGUUUUCGUCUCAGGUUUCAAGUCUCGGGUUUUUGUCUGAGGUUUUAAGUUUUGGGUUUCGAAACUGUGGUUCCAGAUUCCAGAUUUCUACAUUCAGUCUUGGUGUUACAUUGUGAGUUUUGCUGCUACUCUUAACCUUGAUUCUUCAUCGUGCUGAGCAUUCAUCUUGGCUAGAGAACACCUGGGAUACCUUGAUCAGUUUAGUGAAGUGAAUUGAUCCUCUUACAGAAUCUUUGUCUUGGAACGAAAUAUUGUGAGGACAAUAGGCCUACUAUCAGAUACCAUAUUACAAGAUGGUUAUCAUUAUCUUAGAAAUAUUAAUUCAGUAUUUAAUUGGAACUAGACUAUGAUUUUGUAAUUUCUUAUUUCAUUCUAUAUUUAUCAUUACCAUUAGUCAUAUGUCUUUUCAUUGUAUAAAUUUCAUUUUAUUAAAUUCAUAUUUUACUUUAAAUCAUCAUACACAUCGUUUAUUAAUUUAUGUACAACUGGGUGUGUAUGGUGUGUCUGUUGGGCUGAACUCUGGGAC
This is a long non-coding RNA of Biomphalaria glabrata, 1248 nucleotides long. RefSeq lists it as uncharacterized. The record is from RefSeq and is a predicted model, not a curated record. Lineage: Eukaryota; Metazoa; Mollusca; Gastropoda; Planorbidae. The transcript has 3 exons.